UGAGGCCUUGGCUUAAUUAAAGUGUUUGUUUUGCAUACAUAAGAUGUGGGUUAAUAUCCUGCAGGUCUUAUC
Molecule: transfer RNA, 72 nt
Filed under: Coelorinchus multispinulosus (spearnose grenadier)
Lineage: Eukaryota; Metazoa; Chordata; Actinopteri; Gadiformes; Macrouridae
Description: tRNA-Ala
Rfam family: tRNA
About the family: Transfer RNA (tRNA) molecules are approximately 80 nucleotides in length.
Source: RNAcentral